RNAcentral lists this ribosomal RNA (243 nucleotides) under uncultured bacterium. RNAcentral's name for it is "partial 16S ribosomal RNA". It matches the Rfam family "Bacterial small subunit ribosomal RNA", at positions 15 to 252 of the family's 1533-position model. The record is from RNAcentral.
GAUCAUGGCUCAGAUUGAACGCUGGCGGCAGGCUUAACACAUGCAAGUCGAACGGUAACAUAAAGAAGCUUGCUUCUUUGAUGACGAGUGGCGGACGGGUGAGUAAUGCUUGGGAAUCUAGCUUAUGGAGGGGGAUAACUACGGGAAACUGUAGCUAAUACCGCGUAGUAUCGGAAGAUGAAAGUGUGGGACCUUCGGGCCACAUGCCAUAGGAUAGAGCCCGAAGUGGGAUUAGGUAGUUGG